GGACUACUGGGGUUUCUAAUCCUGUUUGCUCCCCACGCUUUCGAGCCUCAGCGUCAGUUAAGGCCCAGCAGGCCGCCUUCGCCACUGGUGUUCCUCCUAAUAUCUACGCAUUUCACCGCUACACUAGGAAUUCCGCCUGCCUCUACCCCACUCAAGAACCACAGUUUUGGAUGCAGAUCCGCGGUUAAGCCGCGGCAUUUCACAUCCAACUUACAGUCCCGCCUACGCUCCCUUUACACCCAGUAAUUCCGGACAACGCUUGCCACCUACGUAUUACCGCGGCUGCUGGCAC
This 292-nucleotide ribosomal RNA is filed under the name uncultured bacterium. RNAcentral's name for it is "partial 16S ribosomal RNA". The record is from RNAcentral.